RNAcentral lists this ribosomal RNA (462 nucleotides) under uncultured bacterium. RNAcentral's name for it is "bacterial SSU rRNA". It matches the Rfam family "Bacterial small subunit ribosomal RNA", at positions 32 to 507 of the family's 1533-position model. The record is from RNAcentral.
AACGCUGGCGGCGCGCCUAACACAUGCAAGUCGAACGAGCGAGAGAGAGCUUGCUUUCUCGAGCGAGUGGCGAACGGGUGAGUAACGCGUGAGGAACCUGCCUCAAAGAGGGGGACAACAGUUGGAAACGACUGCUAAUACCGCAUAAGCCCACGACCCGGCAUCGGGUAGAGGGAAAAGGAGCAAUCCGCUUUGAGAUGGCCUCGCGUCCGAUUAGCUAGUUGGUGAGGUAAUGGCCCACCAAGGCGACGAUCGGUAGCCGGACUGAGAGGUUGAACGGCCACAUUGGGACUGAGACACGGCCCAGACUCCUACGGGAGGCAGCAGUGGGGAAUAUUGCACAAUGGGGGAAACCCUGAUGCAGCGACGCCGCGUGGAGGAAGAAGGUCUUCGGAUUGUAAACUCCUGUUGUUGAGGAAGAUAAUGACGGUACUCAACAAGGAAGUGACGGCUAACUACGUG